ACAGUGAUGGAAAGAUGAAAAGAACUUUGAAAAGAGAGUGAAAAAGUACGUGAAAUUGUUGAAAGGGAAGGGCAUUUGAUCAGACAUGGUGUUUUGCGCCCCUUGCCUCUCGUGGGCUUGGGACUCUCGCAGCUCACUGGGCCAGCAUCGGUUUUGGCGGCCGGAAAAAACCUAGGGAAUGUGGCUCUGCGCCUCGGUGUAGAGUGUUAUAGCCCUGGGGAAUACGGCCAGCCGGGACCGAGGACUGCGAUACUUGUUWUCUAGGAUGCUGGCAUAAUGGUUAUAUGCCG
RNAcentral lists this ribosomal RNA (290 nucleotides) under Nakaseomyces glabratus. Its description in RNAcentral is "[Candida] glabrata partial 26S ribosomal RNA". It matches the Rfam family "Eukaryotic large subunit ribosomal RNA", at positions 350 to 647 of the family's 3401-position model. Lineage: Eukaryota; Fungi; Ascomycota; Saccharomycetes; Saccharomycetales; Saccharomycetaceae. The record is from RNAcentral.